This 371-nucleotide ribosomal RNA is filed under the name Odontotermes horni. RNAcentral describes it as "partial 16S ribosomal RNA". The record is from RNAcentral. Lineage: Eukaryota; Metazoa; Arthropoda; Insecta; Blattodea; Termitidae.
GACGUAUUUUGAGUUGAAGGAGCCGCGGUAUUUUGACCGUGCAAAGGUAGCAUAGUCAUUAGUUCUUUAAUUGUGAUCUGGUAUGAAUGGCUUGACGAGACAUGGGCUGUCUUGGGUGUGAAUUUGUUGUUGAAUUUGGAGUUUAAGUUAAAAUUCUUAGAUGUUUUUAUGGGACGAGAAGACCCUAUAGAGUUUGACAUUUGAUUGCGUAUUUCUUGUUGUUUGUUUUGAAUUUUUGUGCAUCUCUUGUUUUGUUGGGGUGAUGGGAGGAAUUUAUUUAACUCCUCUUUUAUGUGGUAUAUUGAUUUGUAAUUGUUUUGAUCCAUUUAUUUUGAUUGUAAGAUUAAAUUACCUUAGGGAUAACAGCGUAA